This is a long non-coding RNA of Lolium rigidum, 1172 nucleotides long. RefSeq lists it as uncharacterized. The record is from RefSeq and is a predicted model, not a curated record. The transcript has 5 exons. NCBI's taxonomy places the organism in Eukaryota, Viridiplantae, Streptophyta, Magnoliopsida, Poales, Poaceae.
AGUCUUCUUGGGUCUGAUUCAAAACUGUGCAUUUAAAUGUCAUUUGCUUGGAAGUGUUUCAAAUCCUCUGUGAUCCCUUGGUGCUAUUGAAGUUAGUUGAGGGUCUGCAAUAGGUAACUGAUCAGUCUACCACUAUCAGCACUAUCACUUAGGACGCUUGAAUUACUUUGUUUGCUUUUGAUAUUGGAAUGCUUUGGUGGCGCUUUAGAUUCAUGAGUUCCCUUGUCUCGUACUGUUGUUUUAAAUACUGCACAAAUGUUGUCUCGUACUAUGACAGAGUGUUCUACUUUUAAAAAAUAAUAAUAUUACUCACUGUUGUUUUCUUUGGUGGAAUGUAUACAGAGAGUUGCGUUAUCUACAGCUGCUAAUAUGUGUAGGAAGCUUCAAAAGAUACGGUUUGUAUACGCCUCCUAGGAGGGUUACAUCCGUAGAGCAGAUACUAUCUUGUUAUUUUUAAGUGAUAACUAUCCUGGUGGACUUUGCUCAGUAUAUGAUAGGUUCCCUAGCUGAAAUUGCGAGUGGAAGGAGACUCUUUGCGGAUAACUAUGAUCAAAAGACUAAGGAGACAAAGAUGGGUAUAAUGCAGGUGACACCUGAAGUUGCUCAAUGGCUUGGCAGGGAACUCGGAUACAAGAAUUAUGACAUUGAACUUGAAGAAAAUAUGGAUUUGCUCUAGGCCUUUCAUAAAUGUCUACUUUGGUGCUGCUUACGCGAAGUGUCCCUUCUCAUGCGAUGAAAAAUCAAGAAGAAAUCCAAAAGAUGCUGCUGAUUUUUUGUCCAGUCAUCAUGAGCUUCCUACAGAAAUAGAUACAAAUUUACAUCCUGAGGUGGACCUGGAGGGUUUCCUAUUCCAAUAGAAGUACAUGCUCAUGACCCUCUCCGUUAUGUAGGCGAUAUGCUGGGCUGGCUGCAUCAGAUGCACCGUUCACCUGUAACUUGAAGAUGUUUCUUUAGUUGGCCUUUAUACUCGUCUACCUCUAAUGUUUGAAGGCACUAGCAUCUGAAAGAGAGCUUAUAGCUGGGAAGCUUGAUCCUGAGGCAGUGACAGUGGUCUAGCUAUUAGUCGUCAACUCAUCAUUUUGUACGAUUCAUCCAAAGGAGAAUCUGAUAUUACUUCUCUGACAUUUCUUGAACUUCUAAUGUGGAAUGUGUACUGUGUGUACUGCCCACCA